UCCCAGGUGGCUCAGUGGUAAAGAAUCUGCCUGCCAAUGUGAGAGGGCAGGUUCGAUCCCUGGGUCGGGAA
Non-coding RNA from Parelaphostrongylus tenuis, 71 nucleotides. Lineage: Eukaryota; Metazoa; Nematoda; Chromadorea; Rhabditida; Metastrongylidae. The record is from the annotation of a GenBank genome assembly.